UGAAAACCAGAAAUCCUAAUUGAAACUUGAUAUGGAAAAUCACUUAUUUUGGCUGUGGUUCCACCGACGAUCCUUGACAGUAAACUUGCACCUUUUUUGGGGAAAAAACGCAAUUGGUAUAAUUUUAAGGGGAUAUCAGUGGUUUUCAUAAUCAACGUUUGGAUAUCAAAGAACCUGAUAUUUACACAGUGAUGUAAUUAUGGAUCCAAUCAACGUAGCUGUACACGCGUGUAAAAACAUCGGGUCUUCCCCUGGCACAUGGGGUACCCCAGGAAACAAUACCAAUCUGUACAUCGUCUGCGACCAGAGGUCCACCAGAGUCUCCCUACGGUAUGCUGUUAUGUUAUCAGUGAGACACUAGUUGAACCACCAUUGUCAUCUAUCAUGGAAGUUUUGGAAUUGAACAAUGAAAACUUACAGUCGUGGUUCCCCAGCCUGAUAACACAGCUGGAUAAUCCGACUUGCUGAAGUCCGUCGUAGGAAGUUUAACAGGUGCAACCUUAUCUCCAAAAAUAAUAUCCUUAUCGACCUCGAUCAAGCCAACAUCAUUUCUAAUUAAUGCAGCACUAUACUUGGGAUGUGACACUAUACGUUUUGACUGAUAACUAUCACCACCCUCAUCCAAGAUAGACAGUGAGCAGCUGUCAAUAUCCAACGUUCGGUUAGAAUUGAUCCUCCACAAAAAUGACGGUCAUUCAAACGCAGUGACACUUGAUAUGGAUAUUGUCCAUCUUCUGCAGCUGCACCACCUACGAUUUUACCCUCGUCGAAAUUUUCAUCUGAAAAUUAAAUAUUAAGUUGUUGUAUUAAGUCAUAUGAAAUUCUGCUAAAAUUUAUCUGAUAUUGGCACCUGCUAAUAUUAAGGGUAUGAGGAUAGUGAUAAUAUUAAAAAAUGAUAAAAACAUUGUUUCACGAGAAAGAGACUAUUGGAAUGUGAUUAAACAUUCGGAAGGAAUUAUUUGAGGUGUACUCAGAUAUUUUGUGUAUUUAUAGACUGACAUUUUCUAACGAUUAGGAUAAAUUACGUGUCCCGUAGAGCAUACUUAAAUUUAGGUCAGAUAACUGCCAGGUGGGAGGUUCCUGUGUAUUUAAAAAUAUAUGAAUUAUUAAUUCAACGUCUCUGCGAUAACAGUUGAUAUUUACAUUUCUAAUCACAGCUUAUGCUUGGAAUAUUUAUGAUGUUAGAAUUCCGUGAAGCUGUUUCUUUUUUGGUUAAUGAUAUUUUUUAUCUACUUUUGAUUAAUUACUAUUUCUACUUACUAUUAGCUCGGUUCGUUUUCCGUUCUAUAAUUGGACUCCUAUUAAUCGAUGCUUGAUAUCGAAACAAGAAUUAAAGAUUAAAUAAAGAUUGGGAAGAUUCUGUUCA
Long non-coding RNA from Cephus cinctus (wheat stem sawfly), 1366 nucleotides. RefSeq lists it as uncharacterized. The record is from RefSeq and is a predicted model, not a curated record. The transcript has 5 exons. NCBI's taxonomy places the organism in Eukaryota, Metazoa, Arthropoda, Insecta, Hymenoptera, Cephidae.